GAUGAAGAACGCAGCGAAAUGCGAUAAGUAAUGUGAAUUGCAGAAUUCAGUGAAUCAUCGAAUCUUUGAACGCACCUUGCGCCCUUUGGCUAUUCCGAAGGGCAUGCCUGUUUGAGUAUCAUGAACACCUCAACCCUCAUGGUUUGCCAUGACGGGCUUGGACUUUGGGGGUCUUGCUGGAUUGUAGUCAGCUCCCCUUAAACAAAUAAGCUUGCCAGUGUUUGGUGGCAUCACAGGUGUGAUAACUAUCUAUGCUUGUGGUUUUACAUCAGAUAACCUUCAGUGAUGGAGGUUCACUGGAGCUCAUAAAGGUGUCUCUCCUCUGUGAGGACAGCUCUUUGAAUGUUUGAUCUCAAAUCAGGCAGGACUACCCGCUGAACUUAAGCAUAUCAAUAAGCGGAGGA
RNAcentral lists this unclassified non-coding RNA (404 nucleotides) under soil metagenome. RNAcentral's name for it is "partial contains 5.8S ribosomal RNA, internal transcribed spacer 2, and large subunit ribosomal RNA". The stretch from base 1 to 121 matches the Rfam family "5.8S ribosomal RNA", at positions 35 to 154 of the family's 154-position model. The record is from RNAcentral.